This is a long non-coding RNA of Sitophilus oryzae (rice weevil), 441 nucleotides long. RefSeq lists it as uncharacterized. The record is from RefSeq and is a predicted model, not a curated record. Lineage: Eukaryota; Metazoa; Arthropoda; Insecta; Coleoptera; Curculionidae. The transcript is spliced from 3 exons.
CACCAAUCUUUUGUAUGUGUAAAUUAAGCAGUAUAAACAAUGGCUCUGUCUGUAAGAUUUCUCGUACCUAUAUCUGUCCUAAUUUUUAUUCUGUCACUUAUGAAUGGAGGUUUGUCAAUUGAAUGUACUAAAGAUUUCUGCAAGAAUGUAACCUGCGAAGUGAACGUUACAUCCUGCCAAGAAGGAUAUCACUUGAUGCCUACAAUAUGUGGAUGCUGUCAUUACUGUGCGAAAGAUAUACCUGAGAAUGGAUCUUGUCGCAACAUAGGUGGAUUGGGAGUUCCCUCGAAUACCCAAUGUGCUAAAGGUUUAGUAUGUUGCAACGGCACAAUUUGUUUGAAGCCAGAAAAUUGUAGAAAAUAGAAAAAAAAACGAUAAUUUACAUAGUAUUUUUAAAUAAUUAUCCAGAUUAUUAGUUUAGUUUGACAUGUAUUAACUCUA